Molecule: transfer RNA, 72 nt
Filed under: Bos taurus (domestic cattle)
Lineage: Eukaryota; Metazoa; Chordata; Mammalia; Artiodactyla; Bovidae
Also listed under: 5 other names
Rfam family: tRNA
About the family: Transfer RNA (tRNA) molecules are approximately 80 nucleotides in length. Their secondary structure includes four short double-helical elements and three loops (D, anti-codon, and T loops).
Source: Rfam by way of RNAcentral
UCCACUGUGGCUCAGUUGGUAAAGAAUCUGCCUGCAAUGCAGGAGACCUGGGUUUGAUCCCUGGCUUGGGAA